UCAUGAAAGCCGUUUGUACCCGAAGUCAUUGUGUUAAUCCCGCGCAAGCGGGAAGAUAGAUGCCGAAGGUAUGGAUGGUGAUUGGGAUG
RNAcentral lists this ribosomal RNA (89 nucleotides) under uncultured bacterium. RNAcentral's name for it is "partial 16S ribosomal RNA". The record is from RNAcentral.